Molecule: long non-coding RNA, 790 nt
Filed under: Pongo abelii (Sumatran orangutan)
Lineage: Eukaryota; Metazoa; Chordata; Mammalia; Primates; Hominidae
Description: lincRNA
Source: RNAcentral
GUGUCCUAGAAACAACCAUAUGCUGGAGAAUGGAAUUCCAUAAGGCACUCUCUUAGAUAAAGGAAGUGCCAUCCAUCCUGUUGCCAUCUGCUAAAAUCCUCAGCCCACCUGCAUAGUGAACACCAUUCAUUGUUUUCCAGAAAUGUGCAAGAACCACAGUCUCCCCCAAGACUGAAGGUAACAUCAGGAAGCAUACUAUGUAAGACAGAUACAAAGGGGAGCUGCUGUAUGGUAAAUUUGAGGUCAACUGAGACUCCCUGUGGUUUUCCCCAAAACCUGAUAAUAAGUCAAGAGUUAAGAAGGUAUGAAGAGAGAGGAAAUUAAGCUGGAGUGCACUUUGGUCCCACCUCCACUACAACACUAUUUUGUGAUCAGAGGAAAUGAAGCUUGCAAUAUUGCCAGACCACAAAGCCAGACAUCUCUGCUACAUUUUCUAGCAAAAGAGGUUUCAUGGAGAGCUUACUUCCUCAAGUUCACUUUGGUCUUAAUGAGGGUUAAGUCUGAUGGGUGGAACGCAGAUUAUCUACCUGUGCUUUAACUACAAAGUAGCCUGGUGAGGCACUGAUGGAGAUCUACAAGCAUCAGGACCAUCUGGGAAAUCAUGGCCUCACCAAUUGAACUAAGUAAAGAACCAGUGACCAGUCCUGGAGAGGCAUAGGAGAUCUCUUAACCAGUUGACCAAGUAACCAUCACUCUGUUCCAUCUAGUCUUACUGAGGCCCACUGAUCAGUAGACCUCCUCGGCAUUCGAUGUUCUUCUCCCAUCAGCUAAAUUAUGUAUUUAUUAGGUG